This is an RNA transcript of Schistocerca gregaria, 2098 nucleotides long. RefSeq lists it as uncharacterized. Lineage: Eukaryota; Metazoa; Arthropoda; Insecta; Orthoptera; Acrididae. The record is from RefSeq and is a predicted model, not a curated record. The transcript has 4 exons.
UUUAGGACGUUCGCGAAGUCCGAGCUUCACCAAUCGCUAAUCUGACCUUUUUUUGCGCGGUUGCCGGUUGCCUCUGUGCGCACGAAGCAGAUAGGGUUAGGAAAUCACUACAGUGACGAUGUACAAUUCAAAGAGUUGAGGAAAGAGUUCGAGGAGUCGAGGAAGAUUCUCGAAAAUGUGAGCAAGAACCUCAACAAGUUUUUGGAAAAAGUGGACGAAUUGCUGAAGACACAGGAAAGGUUGUCGAAUGAAAUUCUUCAAGACGACAAUAACUUCAACACCACACCUGAACUCUUGAAGCUCUAUAAGUCAGCAUCAGAUCUACAGAUGCGCGAAAGGGAUGCACUGAAUCAUCAUGUGCGCACCAUAUGUUUGGAUCCAUUGAACAAGUAUAAGGCACAGUAUCGAGAGAUACAAGAGCGCCUUCACGAGCACAAACGACUUGGGGAAGAAGUGGAAAAGUUGGGGUCAGAACAUCGAAAUGCGAAAAAAAAGAAUUCCGCACUUGCAGCUGGAAUUGAAAGGCGGCUCGGUGCCUCUAAACAGCAUCAUGGUGAACUGCAUGAGGAGCUGUGUCAAGAUAUCCAUGCAUUGAUUAGUGACCGAAACAAGUUUUUAGAGCCGAUCAUGGCAAUUCUAUUUAAUAUACAGCUAAGGUUCUAUCAAGGCGAACAUCAGGCAUUUUUGCAAUUUGCUAAUCAAGUUCCGAAUGUCCAGCCCGACGUCCUGCAAAACUACCCACGUGUAAUCAGACCCAGAAAAGAUAGCGUCUUAUCUAAAGGCUAUGCGGCAAAAGCUGCGCAAACAUCACAACCAGCAGCGGCUCCUGCGGUACCGAACGCGCAAUUUGGUACUCAUUAUGCCGCCUACCCGGUGGCUGCCCAGGUAAACCCUCAGACUAACAUGGGCUAUUCGGUAGCUGCCCAGGUAAACCCUCAGACUAACAUGGGGGGAUAUCCGACGAGUGGCCAGACGAACCCUCAGACUAAUAUGGGAUAUCCGACGAGUGGCCAGACGAACCCUCAGACUAAUAUGGGGUAUCCGAUGGCUGGCCAGAUGAACUAUCCGACUAAUACAGGACAUCCGGCGGCUGGCCAGAUGAACCCUAUGAAUAACGCACAAUACUACACCCCUUCUCCUCCUGCAUACAGAAUGCAAGGCAUAUGGAAUUUUGACGCGCAGGAUCCCCUCGCAGCUGUCAUUCAAAGCUGGUGAUCAAAUGACUAUUAUUGCUCAACUUGAUGCUAACUGGUGGUUUGCGGAGAUGAAUGGGGCCCGAGGGUAUAUUCCGUCUAAAUAUGUCACUCCAGUUUGAGAGUUAUAAAUCAACCCUUUUUACAACUUAUCGAUAAAUCGGUACAUUCGAACUAAAGUAACCGUGUACGCGAAAUAAUCUACUUCACGUUUGUAACUGUUGCUUUGACUCACCUGACGAUUUUUUAUGGUUGGGAGUACCAAUAUUUCAUUCUUUUGCUCGCUCCUAGUUCAGGGAUUCGUCGUUAACAGUAAUUCUAAGAUAUUAUGAGCGAUACGAGCGGGACCAGCGCGUCUGGGUCGCAGGAUGGGACGUCGGGCGAGAACCGCCUGCCAAGUCAUCUGAACUCUCUUAAGUCAUAUCCGCAAAAACCAUUAUCGCGCGAAAAGUAUGGACACAACUUUCAUAGCCUCCUCGAUUCCCCUACGGACCCAGUGAGUGUAGAAGCGGAAAUUCAACGGCUGGAGCACCACUUAGAAGUGUCGCAACGAACAUCAACGUACAGUUCGAUUCGAAAAAGUUUGUCUCUCAAGCAGGUCAACCCGAGGGCAGUUUGAAAGUAUGCAUGCGUGCAGAAUAAAAAUUCGACAGAUCUCUCUCGUCAACACACAGUUAGCGUAGAACCUGCUGUUUUUUCUUGAUUUGUUUUUGGUUUUUGAGGAGCGUUGAAACGUCGUCGGCUGGAGAGAGAUCUCGAAUGUGUUUCAUAGGACUGACCGGACGGAGGUGCUGGGAAUUUUUUCCUACGCUCUGUGAAGUCGGACGAAGGAUGCUUUGUGGGUGGAUGAAAUUGCCGGCGUACAAUUUGUAUGCAAAAUAAUGUAUACAGCAUAUAUGUGUGUG